Molecule: ribosomal RNA, 916 nt
Filed under: uncultured bacterium
Lineage: Bacteria
Description: bacterial SSU rRNA
Rfam family: Bacterial small subunit ribosomal RNA
Source: RNAcentral
AGAGUUUGAUCAUGGCUCAGGACGAACGCUGGCGGCGUGCUUAAUACAUGCAAGUCGAGCGAGGUUACUGUUUCGGAUCCCUUCGGGGUGAAGAAGCUUUAACCUAGCGGCGGACGGGUGAGUAACGCGUGGGUAACCUACCCCAAAGUCCGGGAUAACAGCGGGAAACCGCUGCUAAUACCGGAUGUCUUUACCUUGGGGCAUCUUGAGGUAAAGAAAGGUAACGCUUUGGGAUGGGCCCGCGUCCCAUUAGCUAGUUGGUGAGGUAACGGCUCACCAAGGCGACGAUGGGUAGCCGGCCUGAGAGGGUGGACGGCCACACUGGGACUGAGACACGGCCCAGACUCCUACGGGAGGCAGCAGUAGGGAAUAUUGCGCAAUGGACGGAAGUCUGACGCAGCGACGCCGCGUGAGCGAUGGAGGUCUUCGGAUCGUAAAGCUCUGUCCUUGGGGAAGAAGGCGAAAGCUUGACGGUACCCAAGAAGAAAGCCCCGGCUAACUACGUGCCAGCAGCCGCGGUAAUACGUAGGGGGCGAGCGUUGUCCGGAAUUACUGGGCGUAAAGGGUGCGUAGGCGGCCCUUUAAGUCGGAUGUGAAAGCCCGCGGCUUAACCGCGGAAUGGCAUUCGAAACUGGAGGGCUUGAGUGUCGGAGAGGGUAGUGGAAUUCCCAGUGUAGCGGUGAAAUGCGUAGAUAUUGGGAGGAACACCAGUGGCGAAGGCGACUACCUGGACGAUAACUGACGCUGAGGCACGAAAGCUAGGGGAGCAAACAGGAUUAGAUACCCUGGUAGUCCUAGCCGUAAACGAUGGGUACUAGGUGUGGGUGGUUUCGAUACCAUCCGUGCCGUAGUUAACGCAUUAAGUACCCCGCCUGGGGAGUACGUGCGCAAGCAUGAAACUCAAAGGAAUUGACGG